GUGCGAUACAGCGGCAUACGGCUCCGUAACACGUGGAUAACCUACCCACGGGAAGGGGAUAACCCCGGGAAACUGAGGCUAAUACCCUAUAUACAAAAGAAGUUGGAAAACUCUUUUGUGCAAAGGUCCGCCGCCCGUGGAUGGGUCCGCGCCUGAUUAGGCUGUUGGUAGGUAAAGGCCUACCAAACCUUUGAUCAGUACGGGUUGUGAGAGCAAGAGCCCGGAGAUGGGGACUGAGACAAGGCCCCAGCCCUACGGGGCGCACAGCUACAAAACUUCGCAAUGCCCGAAAGGGUGACGAGGGAACCCCAAGUGCUUCCGUUUUACGGAAGCUUUUCUUUGGCUUAGUGAACCAGGGGAAUAAGAGCUGGGUAAGACCGGUGCCAGCCGCCGCGGUAACACCGGCAGCUCAAGUGGUCGCCGCGUUUAUUGGACCUAAAGCGUUCGUAGCCGGACAUCUAAGUCUCCAGGUAAAUCGUGCGUCUAAUCGUAUGGCUUCUGGAGAUACUGCAUGUCUUGAGGCCGGGAGAGGUGGGAGGUACUCCGGGGGUAGCGGUAAAAUGCUAUAAUCCUCGGGGGACCACCGGUGGC
This 591-nucleotide ribosomal RNA is filed under the name uncultured archaeon. Its description in RNAcentral is "bacterial SSU rRNA". It matches the Rfam family "Archaeal small subunit ribosomal RNA", at positions 67 to 667 of the family's 1478-position model. The record is from RNAcentral.